UGCAGUUAAGGCUAUUAUUUC
This 21-nucleotide non-coding RNA is filed under the name Caenorhabditis elegans. Lineage: Eukaryota; Metazoa; Nematoda; Chromadorea; Rhabditida; Rhabditidae. The record is from RNAcentral.